Molecule: long non-coding RNA, 637 nt
Organism: Impatiens glandulifera
Lineage: Eukaryota; Viridiplantae; Streptophyta; Magnoliopsida; Ericales; Balsaminaceae
Exons: 6
Source: RefSeq, a predicted model, not a curated record
UGAUAGCUAGAGAGAGAAGUUCAACAGGUAGCUAUCCUCUCUUAACCUCUCCAUCUUCCAUUUCACUUGCUUUUCACAGUUCUCAUCGAUAUCGAUUUCUUCUGCUUAUCUCUCUCCUUCAAGUUGAUCUUCUCCAGUCCUUUUGAUUCCAUUCCCAAUCGUCUCAGCUCGCUGACUAUUCAUUUCUUCGGCCAAGAUCUGUAAAGCUUCUCAAUCUGGAGAUGAUAAAUCAAAUUUUCUUAUCGAUGUUACUAAAAUAAGCCAGUCUACAAGGUGUUCGACGAAAUGCUCACAAGAACAUCUUUGUCUUCAGAUGGAUAUGCAACUUUUAAUUUUAAUAUAAGAUUGAGCUUGAAGAUCUAGUGGAAUAUGUUGAAAUCAAGUUAGUGAGAUUAGUUGGAGCAAAAAAAUGAUCUUACAGAUUGGGGUAUUGCGGCUGUUGACAAUAAUUAUGUUCAAAUUUUAUGAGGGAUUAAGAAGACGGGCAUAGCCCUUAUUUCUGAACUCAAGCUGAUGUCAAUAUAGGUUCUAAGAUCUUAAUUGGUCUGAACUAGGUUUAGUUUAUCCAUAUUCUCUAGUCAAGCAAACAAAGAAGAAGAAAAUCGUAUCCCUGUUUUAAGAUUUUGAUAUAAAUACG